UACGUAGGGUGCGAGCGUUGUCCGGAAUUAUUGGGCGUAAAGAGCUCGUAGGUGGUUUGUCGCGUUGUCUGUGAAAUUCCCUGGCUUAACUGGGGGCGUGCGGGCGAUACGGGCAGACUGGAGUACUGCAGGGGAGACUGGAAUUCCUGGUGUAGCGGUGGAAUGCGCAGAUAUCAGGAGGAACACCGGUGGCGAAGGCGGGUCUCUGGGCAGUAACUGACGCUAAGGAGCGAAAGCGUGGGGAGCGAACAGG
Molecule: ribosomal RNA, 253 nt
Filed under: uncultured bacterium
Lineage: Bacteria
Description: partial 16S ribosomal RNA
Rfam family: Bacterial small subunit ribosomal RNA
Source: RNAcentral